CCCAGGCUCAAUUUUUAAAUCAGUCCUUUGCUGUAGAAGCCACAAGACGGCUGCAUCUGAGAGGAUACUGACAGGUACUGCCAGGAAGCCAUGUGUACCUGCAGGAGACCAGCACGUGUUGUAGCAGGAAGUUAGAACUCAGAAUUGAAGAGAGGAGGUUAUCAGGGGAAUCAAAGAAAUCUGGCCUGCAGUCCCCGGUGCCAGGGAAGACAUCUAAUGAUCUGUGGUCUUCUCCACAUGGUUGACUCCAAGGGGAAGGAGGCACUGGCAAGAGAUAAGAAGACUGGAAAAAGAGAUUUCUGCUUCUGACUCUGACAGAAGGGUAGUUGCUGGAGAUUGCUAAAGCGGUUUCAUCUGGCUCAUUCCGGAUUUCUGGAAUUGGCAGCCUGAGCCAAUUCCAGACAUAGCUGCAGCGGUACCUCAUUGGUUCUCCCUGAGAGCACUCCUUCAAUGACUCACUCAACAAGAAUCCUCAUUCCAGGCUCUGCUUCUAGGGAGCCUGGCCUCAUCUGUCUUCAAGAAGCUUUCUGCCUAGUAGAGAACCAUACCUGCAAACAUACAAACAAAAUGUAAAUCAUAGUGUGAAGUCAUGAAUGUGAAUGUACAAAACACGAAACCUGAAGCAAAGGACGUAUUACAAAGAUUUUGGAGAAUGCAUGGAAUAAAGGAAGGACUGAACAAUUAAGCUAUGGGAAGAACUGAAACACAGAAGUUCCAAGACCUCCAGAAGCUGGGGAAUGGAAACAUGCUUUCUAUAGCAUUGCCUAGCGUCGUGCAACUCUGACACUCUCUGUUUCUAUGUAUCUCAAUUCAGGUUUUCCAAUUAUUAGAAGAAUUAAUCUAACUGAACAAACUUGGGUCAGAUAUCUGUAUUUUGAGAGCAUAUAGCUAUGUCCAGGGGACAGAGUAGAAUACAUAGGCUUAUCCUUGGGGUAACUACAUGGAGCUGAGCAACCAUCGCAGUUUGUGUCUCCUACAUUCCACCUGUUGAUUGUGGUGGUUGUGUACACACACACGAACGUACACACAGACCCACACACACACUCUCUCUCUCUCUUCUUUCUCUCUCACUUCUCUAUACUCAAUAUAUAUAUUUUUCUCCAUCUAUCCACAAAUGCCUCAAUUCAACUAAAAGUAAUUAAUCCAUACAUAAUAACUAACACUCUUGUCUUCUUCUAAAAUGGGAAAUGACCUAAAUUCAUGCCCAGCUAUUAAACAAGGUACGAUGUCAUGAUACCACAUUUUUUUUUGAAAUCAGGCUCCCUGGGUGAUAUCCAUUUGUAUUAUAUAUGUGUAAUAAUUUCAUCUGGGCAUUCUGCAACUACACAGCCUGUGAAGGGGAGAAAGGUUAGGGAAUCAAUACUAAUAUAAAUAUUGACCUAGUAUAGGUUUAGUAUGCAAAGAAAUGCAAGUGCAGAUUUUUUUAUUUGCUGCUGAAACUGGUCAUGAGGUUUAUUGUAGUCCAUUCAGGUUGCUACAACAAAAUGCCAUAAACUCGAUAGCUUAUAAACAGUAGAAAUUUAUUUCUCAUGGUUCUGGAGACUGGGAAGUACAAGCUCAUGGUGCCAUCAGAUUCGGUGUCUGGACAGGAUCUGCUUUCUGGUUCAUAGAUAGUACCUUCUCACUGUCCUCAUGUGGUGGAAGGAACAAGUUAACUCUCUGGGGUCUUUUUUUUUGUGAGAGCAUUAAUCCCGCUCUUGAGGGCCCUGACUGCAUGACCUAAGCACCCCCCAAAGGCCCCACCUGCUAAGACCAUCAUAUUGGUGAUUCGGUUUCAGCAUAUGAAUUUGGAGGCACACAAACAUUCAGACUACAGCAAGGCUCUAGCUAGUAUUUAUGACUUCCAUGUUAUUCUUACCAUUAGCCAGCAACUCAGUUACUCAGAAUUAUUUGCCCAGUGAAGUUACCCAAUAAUGUAUCCCUAACUGGUCUAGGCCCUUAGUGUUUCAACUUAUAUAAUGUUGCUGUACCUUCUGUUAAUCUUUGCCAUUGAGCAUGGUAGUGUAAGGUGGUUUUUUUCUCUCCAAAGAAUUGCUGUUAAUAUAACUCAACUCUACUACCCUGUGACCUCUGUGUAUUCCCUUGCAAGUUGUAAUUGCCUAUAAAACAGAAUAUUUUGAAGUCAGAUAUCUACCCCUUGGAUAAAUUGGCCAGAGGCCUAAGAUGAAAAGGACAUUCACCCCAGGAAUGGUUAUAUACUGGUUGACCACCCCAGAUUUUUCUAGGUAAAUAUCCUUUCUUUAAUAGUGGUUAUUUACAAGAUUUGUGUAUGAAGAAUGUGAAUUUUUUAAUAUAAUAAAAUUUUGUCAGCAUCCAGUUUAUUCUUACAUAAGUUUCUAGAAUACUGACAGAAUAUUCUGAUCAUUGGUUAUGUACCAACUAUUUUAAUUUAAUCUUUUCUUCUCAAAUUUUAUCUUAACCAUAUAUUCUACCCAGUUUAUUAGAUUGCCCCAUGGUUAAAUUUAGUAGGUAGUAAAUCAUCCUAAGCAUACAGAGUGGUUCUUUUUGUGAUCAACCCUGAAACAUAAUUGAAAGAGCAAGGGUAUGGGAAUUAGAUUAAUCUGGACUUUAUUUCUGGUACUUACUUGCUAUCUGACCUUGGGCAACUUAUUAAUUGCUCUGAGUCUCAUUUUCUUCAUCUAUAAAAUGAUCAUAAUAAUAACUAAUUCAUGUGCAGUUUGGAAAUGUGUAAUUAAAUGAUUUAUAUAAAGUUCCUGAUACAGUUUCUGAAAAAUAAUAGACACCCAGCAAGUGAUAACCAUAAUAAUCAGAGUUUAUUCUUCAUAUUAACUGGGAUAAAAUUUAUCAGGAAAUACAACAUGGCAAAGCACCCAGAAAUUCACAAGCAUGUAUUUCGCUUGCCCUUUUAUACAGAGCUGAAAAUUUUAUCAUCAUUAUCUCAUCCAUUGCCUGCAGCACCAUCCUUCCCAAACUCCUCCUGAGACUUUCUACUAAGGUGGAGCACAUUGAACCAUAUGUGACUCUGCCUUUUCUGACUAUUUUUGCAAGAUUUUUCUCAUUAGAGUAUUAUUAACAGAAAGUGGGGCUGUUAUCGAGGUAACUAGGAACGGUGCAUUUUCAGUUCAGGCUCCGACGGAACUUCUGCUUGACCUGGUACAACUCCAACUGUGCUCUUGUCUUUCCUCACUCCUGUUGUUCCAAGAAUGUAAAUAUUCUUCCAUGUCUUUCUUCCAUGUUUUUCUCCACAAGGUCUCAUUGAACUACACAUUUUCCCUUAAAUUUUCUCAACUCAUUUUAUUUCUCCUAAAUAAACUUGAUACUUCUCCCUUUUCUAAUGCAAUAGAUCUUCUUACUAAUACUGCCCACUAAACAUUUGUGUGUAAUUUGUCCUUAAUUCUACACACAAAAUAUUAUCUCUACAAACAUUUUACAACUAUAGUGUGUCUACAGAGAACUAUAAGAGGAACUUGCUCUAAAGGAGGAACUUCAACAACCAAGCCAAGGGUCUGAUAAUUUUCAACAAUAUGUUAUUCAAGAAAGUGCAGCAAAAAAUAUUUUUAAGUUAACGGAGGAGAAUGACAUGAGCAAAAUGGCAAAACAGAAGUUUUCAGCACUUAUCCCUUCACAGAAACAUCAAUUUGAACAGCCAUCUGUGCAUGAAAAUAUCUUCAUAAGAGACAAGGAAUCCAGCUGAGAGGUUAUAG
This 3665-nucleotide long non-coding RNA is filed under the name Homo sapiens (human). RNAcentral describes it as "HSALNT0224658". Lineage: Eukaryota; Metazoa; Chordata; Mammalia; Primates; Hominidae. The record is from RNAcentral.